AGAGUUUGAUCCUGGCUCAGGACGAACGCUGGCGGCGUGCUUAACACAUGCAAGUCGAACGGAUUGCUUGGUGCUUGCGCUGAGUGGUUAGUGGCGAACGGGUGAGUAACACGUGAGUAACCUGCCCCCUUCUUUGGGAUAAGCACCUGAAAGGGUGUCUAAUACUGAUUAUUCUGCUGGAAUCGCAUGGUUUUGGUUGGAAAGGUUUUUCUGGUGGGGGAUGGGCUCGCGGCUUAUCAGCUUGUUGGUGGGGUAAUGGCUUACCAAGGCUUUGACGGGUAACCGGCCUGAGAGGGUGACCGGUCACAUUGGGACUGAGAUACGGCCCAGACUCCUACGGGAGGCAGCAGUGGGGAAUUUUGGACAAUGGGCGAAAGCCUGAUCCAGCAAUGCCGCGUGUAGGAUGAAGGCCCUCGGGUUGUAAACUACUUUUGUACGGAACGAAAAGACUCUUUCUAAUAAAGAGGGUCCAUGACGGUACCGUAAGAAUAAGCACCGGCUAACUACGUGCCAGCAAGCCGCGGUAAUA
RNAcentral lists this ribosomal RNA (529 nucleotides) under uncultured bacterium. RNAcentral describes it as "bacterial SSU rRNA". It matches the Rfam family "Bacterial small subunit ribosomal RNA", at positions 8 to 525 of the family's 1533-position model. The record is from RNAcentral.